AGCUGCAGUCGAGGAUCUUUCGCAAUGGGCGCAAGCCUGACGAAGCGACGCUGCGUGAGCGAUGAAGGCCUUCGGGUCGUAAAGCUCUUUCGCGCRAGAACAAGGAAGUAGUUGUGAAUAACAUGCGUAGACUUGAGGGUACUGCGUAAAGAAGCACCGGCUAACUCC
This 168-nucleotide ribosomal RNA is filed under the name uncultured Chlamydiales bacterium. RNAcentral's name for it is "partial 16S ribosomal RNA". It matches the Rfam family "Bacterial small subunit ribosomal RNA", at positions 347 to 504 of the family's 1533-position model. Lineage: Bacteria; Pseudomonadati; Chlamydiota; Chlamydiia; Chlamydiales. The record is from RNAcentral.